AUCUGGAGCAAAAUCCAAAAAAGACAGUCUCAGUUCGGAUUGAAGGCUGAAAUUCGCCUUCAUGAAGCCGGAAUUGCUAGUAAUGGCAGGUCAGCAUACUGCCGUGAAUACGUUCCCGGGCCUUGUACGCACCGCCCGUCACACCAUGAGAGUUGGGAAUACCCGAAGCCUGUGAGCUAACUUUUAGAGGCAGCAGUCGAAGGUAGAAUCAAUGAUUGGGGUGAAGUCGUAACAAGGUACC
This 241-nucleotide ribosomal RNA is filed under the name uncultured bacterium. RNAcentral's name for it is "partial 16S ribosomal RNA". It matches the Rfam family "Bacterial small subunit ribosomal RNA", at positions 1260 to 1500 of the family's 1533-position model. The record is from RNAcentral.